RNAcentral lists this transfer RNA (51 nucleotides) under Vespa basalis. RNAcentral describes it as "tRNA-Arg". The record is from RNAcentral. Lineage: Eukaryota; Metazoa; Arthropoda; Insecta; Hymenoptera; Vespidae.
UAAUAUGAAAGGAACAUCCUAAUUUAAUUUCGACUUAAAUAAAUGAUUAUU